GACGAACGCUGGCGGCGUGCUUAACACAUGCAAGUCGAACGGAAAGGCCCUGCUUUUGUGGGGUGCUCGAGUGGCGAACGGGUGAGUAACACGUGAGUAACCUGCCCUUGACUUUGGGAUAACUUCAGGAAACUGGGGCUAAUACCGGAUAGGAGCUCCUGCUGCAUGGUGGGGGUUGGAAAGUUUCGGCGGUUGGGGAUGGACUCGCGGCUUAUCAGCUUGUUGGUGGGGUAGUGGCUUACCAAGGCUUUGACGGGUAGCCGGCCUGAGAGGGUGACCGGCCACAUUGGGACUGAGAUACGGCCCAGACCCCUACGGGAGGCAGCAGUGGGGAAUAUUGCACAAUGGGCGGAAGCCUGAUGCAGCAACGCCGCGUGCGGGAUGACGGCCUUCGGGUUGCAAACCGCUUUCGCCUGUGACGAAGCGUGAGUGACGGUAAUGGGUAAAGAAGCACCGGCUAACUACGUG
Molecule: ribosomal RNA, 468 nt
Filed under: uncultured bacterium
Lineage: Bacteria
Description: partial 16S ribosomal RNA
Rfam family: Bacterial small subunit ribosomal RNA
Source: RNAcentral